GCCGCCGUAGCUCAGCACGGUCAGAGCGCCGGCCUCGUAAGCCGGUGGUCCCGGGUUCAAAUCCCGGCGGCGGCU
Molecule: transfer RNA, 75 nt
Filed under: Sulfolobus acidocaldarius
Lineage: Archaea; Thermoproteati; Thermoproteota; Thermoprotei; Sulfolobales; Sulfolobaceae
Also listed under: 3 other names
Description: tRNA-Thr
Rfam family: tRNA
About the family: Transfer RNA (tRNA) molecules are approximately 80 nucleotides in length. Their secondary structure includes four short double-helical elements and three loops (D, anti-codon, and T loops).
Source: RNAcentral